UGCGCGCAAAAAUCAUUUCGUUUGCGCGCAGCUUUUGAUUACAAUUGCGCGCAUUUUUUUUGACAGGUAAACCCAGGUAAAAUACAGGUAAUAAUACUUAUUUAUUUAUAAUUUGUUCAAUUAUUUACCCUGCUCACCAACGAUGAGGUGGAAGUGGGAUUUCGAGCAAGAUAAUUCCGUUUUAUUUUGCACAAGCACUUAAUUCUAGAAAUCUAUACAGAUAAAAUUGUUAAAAU
This 236-nucleotide long non-coding RNA is filed under the name Mytilus galloprovincialis (Mediterranean mussel). The record is from RNAcentral. Lineage: Eukaryota; Metazoa; Mollusca; Bivalvia; Mytilida; Mytilidae.